AUGAGCCGUGUACGUUGACCCGUACGCACGGUUCUGUGAGAGGACGAGGGGCAUUGCCCCUCUCCUACUCGAU
Molecule: non-coding RNA, 73 nt
Organism: Kosmotoga olearia TBF 19.5.1
Lineage: Bacteria; Thermotogati; Thermotogota; Thermotogae; Kosmotogales; Kosmotogaceae
Source: Rfam